RNAcentral lists this ribosomal RNA (519 nucleotides) under uncultured bacterium. RNAcentral's name for it is "bacterial SSU rRNA". It matches the Rfam family "Bacterial small subunit ribosomal RNA", at positions 28 to 532 of the family's 1533-position model. The record is from RNAcentral.
GAUGAACGCUGGCGGCGUGCCUAACACAUGCAAGUCGAACGGGUGUGGUAUCAGGGAAAAGGGGUUUACUUCUUUGACCAGAUAACACACUAGUGGCGGACGGGUGAGUAACGCGUGGAUAACCCUGCCUUAUACAGGGGGAUAACAGGGAGAAAUUCUUGCUAAUACCCCAUAGGUAUGUCUGACGCAUGUUGGACAUAUUAAAGCUUUGGCGGUAUAAGAUGGGUCCGCGUCUGAUUAGCUAGUUGGUGGGGUAAAGGCCCACCAAGGCGACGAUCAGUAGCCGGCUUGAGAGAGUGGACGGCCACAUUGGGACUGAGACACGGCCCAAACUCCUACGGGAGGCAGCAGUGGGGAAUAUUGCACAAUGGGGGGAAACCCUGAUGCAGCGACGCCGCGUGAAGGAAGAAGGUCUUUCGGAUCGUAAACUUUCUAUCAGCAGGGGAAGAAGGAAGUGACAGUACCUGAGUAAGAAGCCCCGGCUAACUACGUGCCAGCAGCCGCCGGUAAAGAGUAGUA